This 301-nucleotide ribosomal RNA is filed under the name uncultured bacterium. RNAcentral's name for it is "partial 16S ribosomal RNA". It matches the Rfam family "Bacterial small subunit ribosomal RNA", at positions 509 to 807 of the family's 1533-position model. The record is from RNAcentral.
CAGUAGCCACGGUAAUACAGAGGGUGCGAGCGUUAAUCGGAUUUACUGGGCGUAAAGCGUGCGUAGGCGGUUUGUUAAGUCUGCUGUGAAAUCCCCGGGCUCAACCUGGGAAUGGCAGUGGAUACUGGCAAGCUAGAGUGUGUCAGAGGAUGGUGGAAUUCCCGGUGUAGCGGUGAAAUGCGUAGAGAUCGGGAGGAACAUCAGUGGCGAAGGCGGCCAUCUGGGACAACACUGACGCUGAGGCACGAAAGCGUGGGGAGCAAACAGGAUUAGAUACCCCCGUAGUCCCUGUCUCUUAUAC